UUUCCGCCGGUGACAUAGUUAAACGGCCGCGCCUACCCUGACCGUGCAAAGGUAGCAUAAUCACUUGUUCUUUAAAUAAGGACUCGUAUCAACGGCUUCACGAGGGUUUUACUGUCUCCCCUCUCUAAUCAGUGAAACUGACUUCCCCGUGAAGAGGCGGGGAUACACCUACAAGACGAGAAGACCCCAUGGAGCUUUAAACCCGCUAACAACCCCCACUAAACAUCCCCAUAUAAAUAAAAAGUAAUGUACAGCGGUUUUAGGUUGGGGUGACCACGGAGCAAAACAAAACCUCCACGAUGAACGGAAUAUUCAUCCUAAUCAACGAACUACCACUCUAAGAAUCAAAAAUUUGACAUAAUCUGAUCCGGUAACCGAUCAACGAACCAAGUUACCCUGGGGAUAACAGCGCAAUCCAUUUCAAGAGCCCCUAUCGACAAAUGGGUUUACGACCUCGAUGUUGGAUCAGGGUAUCCUAGUGGUGCAGCCGCUACUAAAGGUUUGUUUGUUCAACAAUUAAAACCCUACGUGAUCUGAGUUCAAACCGGAAGG
This 552-nucleotide ribosomal RNA is filed under the name Limnonectes kuhlii (Kuhl's wart frog). RNAcentral describes it as "partial 16S ribosomal RNA". It matches the Rfam family "Bacterial large subunit ribosomal RNA", at positions 1905 to 2623 of the family's 2925-position model. Lineage: Eukaryota; Metazoa; Chordata; Amphibia; Anura; Dicroglossidae. The record is from RNAcentral.